GAAUAGGCCCAAGCGACUGUUUAGCAAAAACACAGCUCUCUGCGAAGCCGUAAGGCGAAGUAUAGGGGGUGACACCUGCCCGGUGCUGGAAGGUUAAGGAGAGGGGUUAGCGUAAGCGAAGCUCUGAACUGAAGCCCCAGUAAACGGCGGCCGUAACUAUAACGGUCCUAAGGUAGCGAAAUUCCUUGUCGGGUAAGUUCCGACCCGCACGAAAGGUGUAACGAUUUGGGCACUGUCUCAACCAGAGACUCGGUGAAAUUAUAGUACCUGUGAAGAUGCAGGUUACCCGCGACAGGACGGAAAGACCCCGUGGAGCUUUACUGUAGCCUGAUAUUGAAUUUUGGUACAGUUUGUACAGGAUAGGCGGGAGCCUUUGAAACCGGAGCGCUAGCUUCGGUGGAGGCGCUGGUGGGAUACCGCCCUGACUGUAUUGAAAUUCUAACCUACGGGUCUUAUCGACCCGGGAGACAGUGUCAGGUGGGCAGUUUGACUGGGGCGGUCGCCUCCUAAAGUGUAACGGAGGCGCCCAAAGGUUCCCUCAGAAUGGUUGGAAAUCAUUCGUAGAGUGCAAAGGCAUAAGGGAGCUUGACUGCGAGACCUACAAGUCGAGCAGGGACGAAAGUCGGGCUUAGUGAUCCGGUGGUUCCGCAUGGAAGGGCCAUCGCUCAACGGAUAAAAGCUACCCCGGGGAUAACAGGCUUAUCUCCCCCAAGAGUCCACAUCGACGGGGAGGUUUGGCACCUCGAUGUCGGCUCAUCGCAUCCUGGGGCUGUAGUCGGUCCCAAGGGUUGGGCUGUUCGCCCAUUAAAGCGGUACGCGAGCUGGGUUCAGAACGUCGUGAGACAGUUCGGUCCCUAUCCGUCGUGGGCGUAGGAAAUUUGAGAGGAGCUGUCCUUAGUACGAGAGGACCG
This 911-nucleotide ribosomal RNA is filed under the name Bacillus sp. CD3-1a. RNAcentral describes it as "partial 23S ribosomal RNA". It matches the Rfam family "Bacterial large subunit ribosomal RNA", at positions 1783 to 2694 of the family's 2925-position model. The record is from RNAcentral. Lineage: Bacteria; Bacillati; Bacillota; Bacilli; Caryophanales; Bacillaceae.